This 324-nucleotide long non-coding RNA is filed under the name Trifolium pratense (red clover). Its description in RNAcentral is "long non-coding RNA (TPRA_LNC011665)". Lineage: Eukaryota; Viridiplantae; Streptophyta; Magnoliopsida; Fabales; Fabaceae. The record is from RNAcentral.
CAUUUUUCAGCCAUUAGAUAUUAGAGUGACACAAGAUAUAUGGAUUAUGUCAAUUGUAUCGGAUUUCUUUCAACUCACUCUCAACUUCCAAGAAAACACUGUAGAGCUAUGAUUCUUUCAACUCGGUCAUCUCUCCACAACCCAAAUCGACACCAUCAACCAACCACCAGCUAAAAAUGAAGAUUAAAGGAGAUUUCUAUUAACACUUUCUUCAAUUACAUGGAAAUCAAAGGAAUUAAUAGUGUUAAUAACCCUCCCUUGGUUAUGGGUGUUUAAUUUUUAGCUUAAAGAAAGCAGACAACAAAGGGAUGAGAGAGAAAGAAA